UAUGGGGAGCUGGGUGAUCCCGGCUGAGAAGGGGUAAGCGAGCCUCUAAACCCAGGAACCUGAUCCGGGUAAUGCCGGCGUAGGAAACAGAG
This 92-nucleotide non-coding RNA is filed under the name bovine gut metagenome. The record is from RNAcentral.